Molecule: ribosomal RNA, 420 nt
Filed under: uncultured bacterium
Lineage: Bacteria
Description: partial 16S ribosomal RNA
Rfam family: Bacterial small subunit ribosomal RNA
Source: RNAcentral
AUUUUGGACAAUGGGGUGAACCCUGAUCCAGCCAUCCCGCGUGUCCGAUGAAGGCCUUCGGGUUGUAAAGCACUUUUGGCAGUGAAGAAAAGGCACGGGCUAAUAUCCUGUGUCCCUGACGGUACCUGCAGACUAAGCACCGGCUAACUACGCGGCCGCAGCCGCGGUAAUACGUAGGGUGCAAGCGUUAAUCGGAAUUACUGGCCGUCAAGCGUGCGUCGGCGGUUUGGCAAGAAAGGUGUGAAAUCCCAGAGCUUAACUUUGGAGAUGCACUUUUAACUGCCAGGCUAGAGUAUGUCAGAGGGGGGUAGAAUUCCGAGUGUAGCAGUGAAAUGCGUAGAGAUGCGGAGGAAUACCGAUGGCGAAGGCAGCCCCCUGGGAUAAUACUGACGCUCAGGCACGAAAGCGUGGGGAGCAAAC